GAGCAAUCUCCACUUGAAUCACAUUUUAGAAGAGGCUAAUGAUGUAGUUUAGAGGAAGGGGGCAUUUUAGAUUAGAAAGAAAUAUUAGAACCGAGGUUAUAGCCAUUCACUUAAUCAUCUAAAAAAUACUAUAGAUUUCUUCUGGUGCCAGGCAUGGAGGUUCACUUGAUCCAUGACUUAGGUGAAAAAAACUAUACAAAAUAGUCCUUCAAAGUGCUGAAACCAUAAAAUGGUUGUUUUCCACACUCUGGAAAUCCAUUUAACUUUUUGUAUAUGUAUAGGGCACUUAUUAAUCUCCUCAACUACUGUGGGUUUGAGGGAGGAGCACAGGAGGAAGCCAUCCGACAAAUUCUUUUUAUUAUUUCAUUAUAUUUUUCAUCCCCAUUUGGGGUCAGGUGUUUAGGGCUUGCAGAGAAAACUGUAGUUUUUCUUUGUGUCUCCUCAUUUCAUGUUCGUUCCUGCUGGUGGGUAUGGAUGAGAACCUCCACCUCGACCUUGGACAGCUGGAUGAAUUUCACGGGAGCUGUCGCUUGCACCAGUAAAUUGCUUUCUUCUCUGAACUGAGAAGAAGUAGCAUGGCUGAACCAAGAAAGCUGUCUGAGAAGUGAACAAAGACCUCGUUUGCUGAAGUGAUUGUCAUUUUACCAUGGCCUGGUUUGCUUUUGAUAUGAGUCCUUGGAACACCUUGGAGCAACUUGCUGAGUCUACCAAUUGGAAUGGUAUUUGAUGCGGCAAGCUGGGGAAGAGAAGAGUUGCAGGUGGGGGCAGGAGCUCUGUGGUAUUGGAUUCUCCCAAUUGCUGGCUAUGGGUCCUGCUCAUUACAUGCCACGUCCACCAAAGGAGCCUCUGCUCAUCCCG
This is a non-coding RNA of Microcebus murinus (gray mouse lemur), 858 nucleotides long. The record is from RefSeq and is a predicted model, not a curated record. NCBI's taxonomy places the organism in Eukaryota, Metazoa, Chordata, Mammalia, Primates, Cheirogaleidae.